CUCUUGGUCCAAUGAGAGCUGGCAGAUUCUGUGUCUCAGGAAGCCACUGGCAUCACAGAGGAAUGGACAAGAUCUUUCUACAAAGUCCUGGCUAUUCUGGAACUCACUGUGUAGAGAGCAGGACACCCUUAAAUUCACAAAGAUCCACCUGCUUCUGCUUCCCAAAUGAUGGAAAUAAAGGCACAUAUCAAUAA
Molecule: long non-coding RNA, 194 nt
Organism: Peromyscus eremicus (cactus mouse)
Lineage: Eukaryota; Metazoa; Chordata; Mammalia; Rodentia; Cricetidae
Exons: 2
Source: RefSeq, a predicted model, not a curated record